AGCCGAAGGAUCAGCCAGCCGUCUGGAC
This 28-nucleotide non-coding RNA is filed under the name Bombyx mori (domestic silkworm). Lineage: Eukaryota; Metazoa; Arthropoda; Insecta; Lepidoptera; Bombycidae. The record is from RNAcentral.